This 253-nucleotide ribosomal RNA is filed under the name uncultured bacterium. RNAcentral's name for it is "partial 16S ribosomal RNA". It matches the Rfam family "Bacterial small subunit ribosomal RNA", at positions 524 to 776 of the family's 1533-position model. The record is from RNAcentral.
UACAGAGGGGGCAAGCGUUAUUCGGAAUUAUUGGGCGUAAAGGGCGCGUAGGCGGCAUGGCAAGUGGAAGGUGAAAUCCCUCGGCUUAACCGAGGAACUGCCUGUCAGACUGGAAGGCUUGAGACCGGGAGAGGUGAGUGGAAUUCCCAGUGUAGCGGUGAAAUGCGUAGAUAUUGGGAGGAACACCAGUGGCGAAGGCGGCUCACUGGACCGGAACUGACGCUGAGGCGCGAAAGCGUGGGGAGCAAACAGG